UGAGCAAUCUGCCCUUCACUUCGGGAUAACUCCGGGAAACCGGUGCUAAUACCGAAUACGACCACCGAUGGCAUCGUCUGGUGGUGGAAAGUUCCGGCGGUGAAGGAUGAGCUCGCGGCCUAUCAGCUUGUUGGUGAGGUAAUAGCUCACUAAGGCGAUGACGGGUAGCCGGCCUGAGAGGGUGACCCGGCCACACUGGGACUGAGACACGGCCCAGACCUCCGUACGGGGA
RNAcentral lists this ribosomal RNA (232 nucleotides) under uncultured bacterium. RNAcentral's name for it is "partial 16S ribosomal RNA". It matches the Rfam family "Bacterial small subunit ribosomal RNA", at positions 118 to 347 of the family's 1533-position model. The record is from RNAcentral.